Molecule: unclassified non-coding RNA, 176 nt
Filed under: uncultured Geminibasidium
Lineage: Eukaryota; Fungi; Basidiomycota; Geminibasidiomycetes; Geminibasidiales; Geminibasidiaceae
Description: sequence contains ITS1
Source: RNAcentral
GUGAAUUUGUAGCCUCAAAGGCUCACAUUCUCUAUCCUUUACACACCUGUGCACCCUUCUGAAGCGGAGAGUUAUUAGGCAUUAGCCGAGCGCCUCCCUUCGGUUAUUAUAUCAACCUCAAACUACGUUUACUAGAAUGUAUACCGUCUUGUUGUAACGACAAGUACAAUAUAAUA